UAACUGCUGAAAUGGCCGAGGCUUUAAUUUGCAUCCAGAAUUGGUUAAGGCCUUCUUUUACCUAUUUCAAAGAUAUGAAUCUCAUGGAAGAUUUUGAGCUUUCAGAAGAUAUUGUAACAGAGUUUCAACAAAUGUCUUUAGCAGCAAAAGGAGUAUCAGGUGUCUCAUCAUCACAGUCUCAGCCACAACCUUCGGGUUGUGCUUGAAAUGGAUGUCAACUAUGUUUUUUGAUUUUUUGGAGUCAUGCAUGAUUUUUUGUUGAUGGUCAACUAUGAUUUUUGAUUUUUUGGAGUCAUGCAUGACCUAUAUAUAUGAGUUUUUGGCCAGUAAGUACCAUUGAUCUAACUUACUGAAGUGAUGAAACGGUUUAUUAUAUCAAAGAGUUUUGUUCUCUCUCUUUUGCCAAUGGAUUUCCAUCUGUCAGUAAUGCAGUCCUAUGUGCUAAAGCUUCAAUGCU
This is a long non-coding RNA of Lathyrus oleraceus (garden pea), 457 nucleotides long. RefSeq lists it as uncharacterized. The record is from RefSeq and is a predicted model, not a curated record. Lineage: Eukaryota; Viridiplantae; Streptophyta; Magnoliopsida; Fabales; Fabaceae. The transcript has 4 exons.